Molecule: ribosomal RNA, 602 nt
Filed under: uncultured bacterium
Lineage: Bacteria
Description: bacterial SSU rRNA
Rfam family: Bacterial small subunit ribosomal RNA
Source: RNAcentral
UCGGCAUCGACCUGAGGGAAAAGGAGUGAUCCGCUUUGAGAUGGCCUCGCGUCCGAUUAGCUAGUUGGUGAGGUAAUGGCCCACCAAGGCGACGAUCGGUAGCCGGACUGAGAGGUUGAACGGCCACAUUGGGACUGAGACACGGCCCAGACUCCUACGGGAGGCAGCAGUGGGGAAUAUUGCACAAUGGGGGAAACCCUGAUGCAGCGACGCCGCGUGGAGGAAGAAGGUCUUCGGAUUGUAAACUCCUGUUGUUGAGGAAGAUAAUGACGGUACUCAACAAGGAAGUGACGGCUAACUACGUGCCAGCAGCCGCGGUAAAACGUAGGUCACAAGCGUUGUCCGGAAUUACUGGGUGUAAAGGGAGCGCAGGCGGGAAGACAAGUUGGAAGUGAAAUCUAUGGGCUCAACCCAUAAACUGCUUUCAAAACUGUUUUUCUUGAGUAGUGCAGAGGUAGGCGGAAUUCCCGGUGUAGCGGUGGAAUGCGUAGAUAUCGGGAGGAACACCAGUGGCGAAGGCGGCCUACUGGGCACCAACUGACGCUGAGGCUCGAAAGUGUGGGUAGCAAACAGGAUUAGAUACCCUGGUAGUCCACACCGUA